GAUGAACGCUGGCGGCGUGCCUAAUACAUGCAAGUCGAGCGAACGGACGAGAAGCUUGCUUCUCUGAUGUUAGCGGCGGACGGGUGAGUAACACGUGGAUAACCUACCUAUAAGACUGGGAUAACUUCGUGAAACCGGAGCUAAUACCGGAUGAUAUUUUGAACCGCAUGGUUCAAAAGUGAAAGACGGUCUUGCUGUCUCUUAUAGAUGGUUCCGCGCUGCAUUAGCUAGUUGGUAAGGUAACGGCUUACCAAGGCAACGAUGCAUAGCCGACCUGAGAGGGUGAUCGGCCACACUGGAACUGAGACACGGUCCAGACUCCUACGGGAGGCAGCAGUAGGGAAUAUUCCGCAAUGGGCGAAAGCCUGACGGAGCAACGCCGCGUGAGUGAUGAAGGUCUUCGGAUCGUAAAACUCUGUUAUUAGGGAAGAACAUAUGUGUAAGUAACUGUGCACAUCUUGACGGUACCUAAUCAGAAAGCAACGGCUAACUACGUG
This 497-nucleotide ribosomal RNA is filed under the name uncultured bacterium. RNAcentral's name for it is "partial 16S ribosomal RNA". It matches the Rfam family "Bacterial small subunit ribosomal RNA", at positions 28 to 507 of the family's 1533-position model. The record is from RNAcentral.